UGUGGGAGCUGGCUUGCCUGCGAUAGCGGUGGGUCAGCUACAUUUCUUUCAACUGACAGACUGCUAUCGCAGGCAAGCCUGCUCCCACA
RNAcentral lists this non-coding RNA (89 nucleotides) under Pseudomonas tolaasii NCPPB 2192. Lineage: Bacteria; Pseudomonadati; Pseudomonadota; Gammaproteobacteria; Pseudomonadales; Pseudomonadaceae. The record is from RNAcentral.